CUUCGUCUCCAAAGUCUCCGUUGUAGACAUCUCAGAAAAUUCCCCGCAGAGGCGCAGACGAGGUGCGACUUUCGUUCCUCUUCGCCGCUCGCCGCUGAACCCCGACUAGCCGGCGGAGUCGGGAGCACACGGGAUCCGCGGAGGCGCGAGGACAUGGCCAACUCCUCCUCCUCCUCACGCUUCGGCUUCGCCGCCGCCGCCCCCUUCUCCGACCAAGUGCUCCUGCCCAGGGAGGGCAUCAGGUUUGAAGCUGAAGAGGCCAGGCUGAGAUUUCUGUCGGUUUGCUUUUAAACACUUGCCCCAAACCAGCGUGGCUAAGAGAAGGCAGGGUCCAUGAAGUUGCAUUUGGCUUUCUCAGUGAUGGAGAAGUGCAGGCUGCAACGCAGGAUACAACCAACUCCUCGUGCUCCGUCGCUGCCUUCUCUGAGGAGUUUGGAGAUGGAACGGAAGAGGGGCAGUUGUUCACUGCUUAACGAAGCAUCAUAUGACCACCAAAUAGAUGUCCCUAUGUAUCUGUGUAUAUGUACUGCUCAGCUUUUUGUACAUUUUGUAUGGCACAACCAUCUUUUCCA
Aegilops tauschii subsp. strangulata is the source of this 572-nucleotide long non-coding RNA. RefSeq lists it as uncharacterized. Lineage: Eukaryota; Viridiplantae; Streptophyta; Magnoliopsida; Poales; Poaceae. The record is from RefSeq and is a predicted model, not a curated record.